RNAcentral lists this ribosomal RNA (460 nucleotides) under uncultured bacterium. RNAcentral's name for it is "partial 16S ribosomal RNA". It matches the Rfam family "Bacterial small subunit ribosomal RNA", at positions 338 to 795 of the family's 1533-position model. The record is from RNAcentral.
CCUACGGGUGGCAGCAGUGAGGAAUAUUGGUCAAUGGGCGCGAGCCUGAACCAGCCAAGUCGCGUGAGGGCGGACGGCCCUACGGGUUGUAAACCUCUUUUGCCGGGGAGUAACGGGCGUCACGUGUGGCGCCACUGAGAGUACACGGAGAAAAAGCAUCGGCUAACUUCGAGCCAGCAGCCGUGGUAAUACGGAGGAUGCGUGCGUUAUUCGGAUUUCAUGGGUUUAAAGGGUGCGUAGGCGGAUCGUUAAGUCAGUAGACAAAUUGAGGGGCUCAACCCCUUCCCGCCAUUGAAACUGGCGUUCUUGAGUGGAAGAGAAGUGUGCGGAAUGCGUGGUGUAGCGGUGAAAUGCAGAGAGAUCACGCAGAACCCCGAUUGCGAAGGCAGCAUGCCGGCUUCCGACUGACGCUGAAGCACGAAAGCGUGGGGAUCGAACAGGAUUAGAUACCCGAGUAGUC